Ornithorhynchus anatinus (platypus) is the source of this 391-nucleotide long non-coding RNA. RefSeq lists it as uncharacterized. The record is from RefSeq and is a predicted model, not a curated record. The transcript has 3 exons. NCBI's taxonomy places the organism in Eukaryota, Metazoa, Chordata, Mammalia, Monotremata, Ornithorhynchidae.
CUUCCCCCAGCUCUCGACUCUCUGCGAAGUCUCUGCUGGGAUGAUAGCCAUCCGCCCCCACCCCUCGUGUCCCGUCCGGCCCUGCCCGACCAACUCUAGAGCACUGGACCGAGGCAGGCUCCGGCUCUCUUGAGAUCCCUAAAUGGGAAACCUGAGGAGGACAGAUGCUGCCACCUAAAGUCGCUGUCCCUGAUCGACUCGUCCCAGAGCAGCUUCAUCCUGCCUCCCCGGACCGUCUCAGCCCUUACUUUCUUGUCUUGGCCGCUCAGCGGGCAACAAGGUCUUUCCCUCCACGAUCAGCAGACGGGCCCUCCUCCCUCCCCACCGGAUCAGAAGAAGAAAGGCACCCUGCCCAUUCUGGUCCCAGUCCCCCCUCUCCUCGGCCCCCAGC